CGGGAUCCAUGUUGUAGCAAUACUUCGGAAGAUCUAGUGGCGAACGGGUGAGGAACACGUGAGAAACCUGCCCCGAACUUCGGGAUAACAGUUGGAAACGACUGCUAAUACCGAAUACCUCUGCGAAGUGGCAUCACUUUGCAAAGAAAGAAUUUCGGUUCGGGAGGGUCUCGCGGCCUAUCAGCUAGUUGGUGGGGUAACGGCCUACCAAGGCAUCGACGGGUAGCUGGUCUGAGAGGAUGAUCAGCCACACUGGGACUGAGACACGGCCCAGACUCCUACGGGAGGCAGCAGUGGGGAAUCUUGUGCAAUGGGCGAAAGCCUGACACAGCAACGCCGCGUGCGGGAAGAAGGCCUUCGGGUCGUAAACCGCUUUCAGCAGGAACGAAAAUGACGGUACCUGCAGAAGAAGGUGCGGCCAACUGCGUGCCAGCAGCCGCGGUGACACGUAGGCACCAAGCGUUGUCCGGAUUUAUUGGGCGUAAAGAGCUCGUAGGCGGUUCAGCAAGUCGGGUGUGAAAACUCUGGGCUUAACCCAGAGCCUGCACCCGAAACUGCUGUGACUAGAGUUCUGUAGGGGAGCGGGGAAUUCCUGGUGU
Molecule: ribosomal RNA, 599 nt
Filed under: uncultured Actinomycetes bacterium
Lineage: Bacteria; Bacillati; Actinomycetota; Actinomycetes
Description: bacterial SSU rRNA
Rfam family: Bacterial small subunit ribosomal RNA
Source: RNAcentral